AACCUCAUCCUAACCCUCUCAAACCAUCCGAUACCGCACUUUAUCAUCCUUAAUCCAUCCAAUUCCGAAUCUUCCACCAAUCAUAACCCUAGGUUAAGUUUGCCUAAAACCUUCUCUGCUCAUUCAUCACCAUUUCGGGUUCAACACAUACAAUGGAGCAAGGUCGUCCAAAACGGGUCAAGACUACAGCUACUCGUGUACGAAGAAGGGAAACCGGUUCACCUUCCACUCGGGACCGCG
This 240-nucleotide long non-coding RNA is filed under the name Lupinus angustifolius (narrow-leaved blue lupine). RNAcentral's name for it is "long non-coding RNA (LANG_LNC000334)". Lineage: Eukaryota; Viridiplantae; Streptophyta; Magnoliopsida; Fabales; Fabaceae. The record is from RNAcentral.